GGACAUUUUUCUUUGUGGCAAGAUGGAUGAUCAAGGUUGGGUUCCCGUCUCAUUGAUUGCUACCUUUAACAUGGUCAAAAGGGUGACCACGAGCAUAGCGAUGAUAUUGAAUGCUCUAAGAGAUUCGACAGAACUUGAAAUACAGAGAAAAUUAGAAGACGAGAGGAUUGGAUGAGAUGGUUACUGCCCUCGAUGGAAAAUCCAAAUGGUCAUGGUUCCACACCUCACUUGACAUUGAACCAUGAUGAUUCAGUCAUCCACCCCAUGCAGACUCUCGGAUUAGAGGGAUAUUCCAGCCAGGCCACCAUGAGUUGUACUCAAACUGAGGUAGCACUUGAUAGGGGAUCAGCAUCCUGUAGCUGCAACAACCAGCAAGGUAGAGAUCCAGCUCAACUAGAAGAACUUUACCACAGUGGUUCAAAUCAUGAAAUAG
Long non-coding RNA from Zingiber officinale, 433 nucleotides. RefSeq lists it as uncharacterized. The record is from RefSeq and is a predicted model, not a curated record. The transcript has 3 exons. NCBI's taxonomy places the organism in Eukaryota, Viridiplantae, Streptophyta, Magnoliopsida, Zingiberales, Zingiberaceae.